Molecule: long non-coding RNA, 4177 nt
Filed under: Bemisia tabaci
Lineage: Eukaryota; Metazoa; Arthropoda; Insecta; Hemiptera; Aleyrodidae
Description: lncRNA ENSSWEETPG001227
Source: RNAcentral
CUAAAAUCGAUUCCAUCUUGGUAUCCUCCAAGUGUAUUGCUCUUAUUUACUUAAAGGAAUCCAAUUGCAAGGAUUGCUGGAAAAACGACCUGCAGCCAAAAAAGGUGUUUUGAGGUUUUGAGAGAAGAGGAUUUAAAAUUUUGUUUUUGGUGUCCGGCAAAGGCCAAGCAAGAAGGAAAUCUACGUUUGGUGUUUUUGGGUAGCUUGAUUCAUUCCUUGAAGACCGUAUAGUCAGUUUUGCCUUGAGAUUUGUUUUUCAAUAAAUUACCUACGUAAAGUUGAAGAUGUCGUUUCAUCGGUUGUUUUUGCAAGAAUCUUACAAAUUUCUGGAUUUUGAAGGAAAAUCACUCAAAUGAUUUAUUAUAAAUACAAAAUUUAGAGACAUCAAUAGAGACAUAUCAUUUUGUUAUCAAAAAAUACAUUGCCAUUUUCUUUUUACAGAAGCAAAAUUUUCUUGAGGAGUGGGAAAUCGAUUCCUUGAUUGCUACAGUUGUUUCAUUACCAUCAAUGCCGACUGAAAAACUUGCUAGUCUCCCUGCAAAUCCUGUGAACUUGCGAGCGGCGCAAAUUGGAACAAUUUAUAUGCGAACAAUAUAUAGUUCAAUACUUGUUCUCAGUGCUUGUGGGUAUCCUCUUCCGCCAUCACAAGUGUUCAUUCAUCCGUAUUUUGAUGGAAAAUUACAUCAAAAAAUGUACUCGUAUUCCCAAUUUAAAAAGAAUACAUUUCCUCACAGUUGGAUGGAUUCCGAUCAGGUACAAAAUAAAAUUAUCCUUUUUUUCUGUGUUUGUCGUUUCCAGAAGAAAAAUUUCGUUUUGCUCUUCAGUUCAUGCUGAACUGAGAGAGUACUCUUAAAAUGUGAAGAGUGACCUUCAACUCCCUUCAGUGUUAAAAUACCUGACACCAUCAGAGCAUUCAUUGGCAUUGCUUGUCAGGGAAAGAAAUUUUACUCUCAAAUGUCAAGGAAAACGAGCAAAAGUCAAGAGAAUACUUUUUACUCAAAAUUCAUGUUGAAAACACAGAAAAAGGCAAAGGAUUUCAUGGAUUGGACUGGAGUUUUUUUUUCCUCUCUCCAUUUUGCUCUGCAUUUUGAUUGUUCAUGAUUAUCCAAUCAAAGAUUUAGAAAAUCAUAACUUUGAUGAAGAAAAGAGAUCUUUUAAGUGAAGUAUUAAUGGACUACAUUUUGCAGUUAUGAACUACAAUUUCAGGCUCAGUUUAGGAACAAUAUGUGUACGAUUAAUUCCCUACGCAUGUGAGUGUUUUUACGAAUGAGUUAGAAAUUGUAGUUCCAAAAUGCAAAAUGUACUCCAAUAAACUCUAGAAUUGUUUAUUUUUCAGACACAUUUUGUUGAAUUUUCCAUUGAAAUAGUCAGGAUUAUGUUGUUCUUUGGCAUCAAAAACCCUGGAAAUAUCAGACAAUUUGGCUUCAGAAGUGUUUCUUUAUCUUGGCAAUAUGUUUGCUGAUCCAAUUACAAAUUAAGGAUGUAAAAGUAGACUUCGGAGCACGGUAGAGUGUCUGAAGCUAUAAGCAUUUCCUGCCUCUACCUGUAAGUGGGCUGGUAGCAAAACUUCAAACACCCUUACCUCCUUCAUACGUCAUUUAUAAUCAACCGCCUGUUCCGUUCAUACAUCAAUGUUUUGAUGGCAAGGAAUUUUUGAAGGAUUGUAGUAUGGUUUUUUUAUGUACAAUUUAGUGAAAAAACCACUAAGUUCAUCAAAGAAUUCAAAAAAUUAUUUCCAUAAGGCAAAAAAGCUAAUCUUUAGUCAGGGAAUGACAGAAAAACUGGAAAAUGUCAGGGAAAAGAUGAAAGAAUCAAGGAAAAAUUGUUAAUCCACCUUUAUUUGCUUUCUAAAAUGGGUUUGACGUUUUGAAGAACUAAUUUUGUCAAGAAACUAUUUCAGAUUGUGUCUCUUCAACUAUCUGGCAUAUUUUCAAUUGUCAGGGAAUUUUACUCAUGUGUCAGGAAAAUGUUAGGGAAUUUCAUUUCCUAAAUGUGGCAACCCUGUAAUCAGAAUCAGACCAAUCAAAAGCUGCCAGUCGAGUUGACAUUUGGUUGACAUUGCAAGGCAAUGCCUGAAUAUGAGUGCAGCCAAUCAGCGAACACUGUUUUCCCCGUUGUAAUCAGUGCUCACCAAAAAUAUUGUUUCCAGCAGGUCCCGUUUUUGGCAUUUUCAAAAUUGGUUUUUUUGCCAUUAAGGGUUGAAAAAAAUCUGAGAAAAUUCCUAUGAGCUUAGUUCACUUUAGAGAAAAUAAGUUUCAAGAAAAAAAAUGGUACCACUGACUCAUUGUCUAAUUCACUUUAUAUUUACUUCAUUUUAUAUUAUUUUUGGCUUCUGUUUCAGGACUUGGGUUCUGAUCUGGAGAGAAAUCGUCAGCUUUCACUUUUUCUCAAAUCAAAGCAAGAGUGUUUCCUAUCGCUGUAAUUUGAUUACUGCAGGUUAGACACAUAUUUCGAAACUUCCAAUUUGUAUUUCGAUUUUGUUAGAUUGAACUCAAGUGAGAAAGUUAAAAAACAUUUCAAUGGCUAAAGUGCGAAACCACGGAUCUCUGUUUGCAAUGUAGCAGACUUCCCGUCAUACCGACAUACUUUAUUUUUUCUCUGGAAAACUAGUGAGCGUAAUUUAUUGAAAAUCUUUCUGACUUUUCUUCACUGUUAGCAAAAUAUUUUGCAUGGAUUUCGAAACUGAACAAAUGGCUCGUCUCUCUUUGAAAACACGAAAUAGGAGCGGAAAUUAUGAAACUUUGCAAUGGAGGUACGCAGUUUCCCACUUUAGUCAUCGAUUGUCAGAAAUGGUACAUCAAUUAUUUUAGAGUUUGAAGGCUCAAUUUGAAUUUAGUGCAAGGGUGUGGUAUGUGCAGCAGAUUUUCUUAUAAUCGUAUCAUGAAGAUCCAUACCUGAAGGUCUUUAAAGUUAACUACUGAUCAAAUAUUUGACUGUGAUAACGUAGGUACCCAUUUUCUUUCUAUUUCAUUGAGUUUUUAUUAUUUAUAUUUUGAUUUGUUCAAUUUUACCUUUCUUCUACAGUUAAGGUUCUUGUUUUAGUACAAAUUUAAUAAUACCAGGGAGCUAUUGAAUCAUUAAUUCUCCAAAAAUUUUAGUGCCAGGUAAAAUAUACAAGAAAAAAGUAGAAACUUUACUAAUUGACCUGUUUUAAGUGGUAGAUUAAUUAAUUGAUUGAUUUAUCACUUGAAUAUUAUGGAGCCCUAGAGAUUUAGAACGGGCGUGUCACUACAGUUUCUACUGUUCCUCUCAUAUUCUCAUUUCUGGCACCUUAGUCAUCCUACAGUCAUUAAUGGUUCAAAUUUAUUUUUUAUUUUUAAUGAACUUGUGCUUGUUAUGUUCUCUCUUUUAUUUUCAUUAUUCCUUCAUUAUUAUGUAUCCAUUAUUUUCUUUUAUCAACUAUUAAUUGAUAGGUAAUGAUUUUUGUACUUGAUUUAAGUUUUCUUUAGUCUAGGUUUUUAUCAAUUUAUCUCUUUCAUUCAACUAAGCUGAUCUCAUGACAGAAACACGAGUAAUAAACUCCUGAUAACAGUUUUCAAAAAUUACAAAGUUAAGGAAGCAUAGUUUCUGCUUUAUUCUUUUUUUCUUACAGCCUAAUUUGUUCAAUUUCUAAUUAAGUAGUUUUCAACCAGUGUUGGCAAUUUACAGCAAUAUUUCAACCAUUUCAAUACCAACGCUAUCAGCCAAUGUAUAGUGCAGUAAAUCUUGUUUUCCAGAGAUUAUAUUUUUUGUAAAAUUUCAUUAACAUUUAUAAUAAUCGACAUUCUGUGCGAAUACUUUCAAGUUAUUGAGUCUCAUAAAUUUUCAUUUAUUGCAGCUUUAUUUUUUGGUUAUUUUCCUGUCUUUACUUUUGAAGGUAUUUUGUCAAUUCUUCCUCAGAUGUUUUGAACACUUCAAUAUCGCACUGCAUACUUGUUCUUAUCAAAUUGAAAAAAGUCAAUCUAUCCAAAUAAUAAUUGAAAGGACAAUCCUCUUUUUUGUAUCAAACGAUAGAAGACUUGAUUAAAACCCCUCCACUCUGUAAAAUCAAUUAUGUAAGUUGUUUAAUGGAUUGACUUAAUUUUUUUAUAAAAUCCUCUCAAUUUUGUUUACAUACCUAUUACGCAUUUUUGUUCAGUUACAAAUUAAAAACAAAUUCAUUUUAUUUUCUUUGCAUUUUACAUUUAUUGAAUCAAUU